RNAcentral lists this ribosomal RNA (549 nucleotides) under Neopestalotiopsis sp. 10 SSNM-2014. RNAcentral describes it as "eukaryotic LSU rRNA". The stretch from base 184 to 337 matches the Rfam family "5.8S ribosomal RNA". The record is from RNAcentral. Lineage: Eukaryota; Fungi; Ascomycota; Sordariomycetes; Amphisphaeriales; Sporocadaceae.
UAACAAGGUCUCCGUUGGUGAACCAGCGGAGGGAUCAUUAUAGAGUUUUCUAAACUCCCAACCCAUGUGAACUUACCUUUUGUUGCCUCGGCAGAAGUUAUAGGUCUUCUUAUAGCUGCUGCCGGUGGACCAUUAAACUCUUGUUAUUUUAUGUAAUCUGAGCGUCUUAUUUUAAUAAGUCAAAACUUUCAACAACGGAUCUCUUGGUUCUGGCAUCGAUGAAGAACGCAGCGAAAUGCGAUAAGUAAUGUGAAUUGCAGAAUUCAGUGAAUCAUCGAAUCUUUGAACGCACAUUGCGCCCAUUAGUAUUCUAGUGGGCAUGCCUGUUCGAGCGUCAUUUCAACCCUUAAGCCUAGCUUAGUGUUGGGAAUCUACUUCUCUUAGGAGUUGUAGUUCCUGAAAUACAACGGCGGAUUUGUAGUAUCCUCUGAGCGUAGUAAUUUUUUUCUCGCUUUUGUUAGGUGCUAUAACUCCCAGCCGCUAAACCCCCAAUUUUUUGUGGUUGACCUCGGAUCAGGUAGGAAUACCCGCUGAACUUAAGCAUAUCAA